RNAcentral lists this ribosomal RNA (496 nucleotides) under uncultured bacterium. RNAcentral describes it as "partial 16S ribosomal RNA". It matches the Rfam family "Bacterial small subunit ribosomal RNA", at positions 28 to 506 of the family's 1533-position model. The record is from RNAcentral.
GAUGAACGCUGGCGGCGUGCCUAAUACAUGCAAGUCGAGCGAACGGACGAGAAGCUUGCUUCUCUGAUGUUAGCGGCGGACGGGUGAGUAACACGUGGAUAACCUACCUAUAAGACUGGGAUAACUUCGGGAAACCGGAGCUAAUACCGGAUAAUAUUUUGAACCGCAUGGUUCAAAAGUGAAAGACGGUCUUGCUGCCACUUAUAGAUGGAUCCGCGCUGCAUUAGCUAGUUGGUAAGGUAACGGCUUACCAAGGCAACGAUGCAUAGCCGACCUGAGAGGGUGAUCGGCCACACUGGAACUGAGACACGGUCCAGACUCCUACGGGAGGCAGCAGUAGGGAAUCUUCCGCAAUGGGCGAAAGCCUGGCGGAGCAACGCCGCGUGAGUGAUGAAGGUCUUCGGAUCGUAAAACGCUGUUAUUAGGGAAGAACAUAUGUGUAAGUAACUGUGCACAUCUUGACGGUACCUAAUCAGAAAGCCACGGCUAACUACGU